RNAcentral lists this ribosomal RNA (253 nucleotides) under uncultured bacterium. Its description in RNAcentral is "partial 16S ribosomal RNA". It matches the Rfam family "Bacterial small subunit ribosomal RNA", at positions 524 to 776 of the family's 1533-position model. The record is from RNAcentral.
UACGUAUGGUGCAAGCGUUAUCCGGAUUUACUGGGUGUAAAGGGAGCGCAGGCGGCACGGCAAGCCUGAUGUGAAAGCCCGCGGCCCAACCGCGGGACUGCAUUGGGAACUACCGGGCUGGAGUGCCGGAGAGGUAGGCGGAAUUCCUAGUGUAGCGGUGAAAUGCGUAGAUAUUAGGAGGAACACCAGUGGCGAAGGCAGCCUACUGGACGGUGACUGACGCUGAGGCUCGAAAGCGUGGGGAGCAAACAGG